GAAUAUUGGACAAUGGGCGCAAGCCUGAUCCAGCCAUGCCGCGUGUGUGAAGAAGGCCUUAGGGUUGUAAAGCUCUUUUACCCGGGAAGAUAAUGACUGUACCGGGAGAAUAAGCUCCGGCUAACUCCGUGCCAGCAGCCGCGGUAAUACGGAGGGAGCUAGCGGUGUUCGGAAUCACUGGGCGUAAAGCGCGCGUAGGCGGCUGUUUAAGUCAGAGGUGAAAGCCCGGGGCUCAACCCCGGAACUGCCUUUGAGACUGGACAGCUAGAAUCCGGGAGAGGUGAGUGGAAUUCCGAGUGUAGAGGUGAAAUUCGUAGAUAUUCGGAAGAACACCAGUGGCGAAGGCGACUCACUGGACCGGUAUUGACGCUGAGGUGCGAAAGCGUGGGGAGCAAACAGG
RNAcentral lists this ribosomal RNA (400 nucleotides) under uncultured bacterium. RNAcentral's name for it is "bacterial SSU rRNA". It matches the Rfam family "Bacterial small subunit ribosomal RNA", at positions 359 to 776 of the family's 1533-position model. The record is from RNAcentral.